Molecule: ribosomal RNA, 491 nt
Filed under: uncultured bacterium
Lineage: Bacteria
Description: partial 16S ribosomal RNA
Rfam family: Bacterial small subunit ribosomal RNA
Source: RNAcentral
GAUGAACGCUGGCUACAGGCUUAACACAUGCAAGUCGAGGGGAAACGACGGGGAAGCUUGCUUCCCCGGGCGUCGACCGGCGCACGGGUGAGUAACGCGUAUCCAACCUGCCUCUGACUGAGGGAUAACCCGUCGAAAGUCGGCCUAAUACCUCAUGGCAUCGUCUGCGGGCAUCCAACGACGAUUAAAGAUUUCAGCGUUCAGGGAUGGGGAUGCGUCUGAUUAGCUAGGUGGCGGGGUAACGGCCCACCAAGGCGACGAUCAGUAGGGGUUCUGAGAGGAAGGUCCCCCACAUUGGAACUGAGACACGGUCCAAACACCUACGGGAGGCAGCAGUGAGGAAUAUUGGUCAAUGGGAGAGAGCCUGAACCAGCCAAGUAGCGUGCAGGAUGACGGCCCUAUGGGUUGUAAACUGCUUUUAUGAGGGGAUAAAGUGAGGGACGUGUCCUUCAUUGCAGGUACCGCAUGAAUAAGGACCGGCUAAUUCCGUG